This is a long non-coding RNA of Oncorhynchus masou masou (cherry salmon), 1343 nucleotides long. RefSeq lists it as uncharacterized. NCBI's taxonomy places the organism in Eukaryota, Metazoa, Chordata, Actinopteri, Salmoniformes, Salmonidae. The transcript is spliced from 4 exons. The record is from RefSeq and is a predicted model, not a curated record.
UUUAUCAUUGUUGUCAUCUAUGAGGUUAAUGGCUAGCUAAAUAGUAUGUGUUGGGAAGGAGGAUGUGUUUGACUGCGUGUCAUGACAUAGAUUUUUAGCCCAUACGUAGAUCGUUAACUACUACGGUGUUAGCUACAAGAACAGAAGUUGGCUAAAAGUUGUGCAUUUAGCCUCCUCCUGCCUGGAUGUUAGAGCUGUGAUGGUGGUGUGUCCCCUGCCUUCAUUGUGACUCGUGUCCACCACCUUCCUCUCCUUGCCCAGUGUGUGUGCCACCAUUUCACCAUGACCCUGCAUCUUCUCCUCGUCCUGUCCCCUGUCCUUGGGCUCCUGGUGCUACCUUGUCUGUCAUCCCAUGUGGCCAGCCAGUUCAGCAUUGUGGCCAGCCAGACAAUGACAGAGCAAACCCAUUGCUCUGAAGCAUGCUCACUCAAUAUGACAUGUGAUCAUGCUGUCUUUUGGAAAGAGAAGUCCACCUGCUUUUUCUUGACAUGUCCAAAUUGCACCAACUGUAGCAGUAUCGCCAUCGCUGACCUGAUAAGGGAACAAGAAACAGACAUCAGUGUUUUUAAGAGAGACGCUAAACAUGUCACUCAGUCUUCAAGUUCCGUAACUCCGUCAGAAAGCCAACAUAAGAACUCUACUGCGCAUAAAUUGACAGUCAGUAAUAAUACCAAUCAAACUACACAAAACUCUGCCCUCAAUGAGACUGGCUCUACCUCACAGCACAGCGAUGCUGGUCAGGCUCCAACUGCUGGAGACUCUCCUGAUGUCUUAACUGCAUCUACCAUGAAUGCAGCACCUUUGCCAGCUCCCGAGAAUGACACAGCAACUACACUAUCUGAGACAUCCCACAAGUCAAAGGUCCAAAGUCCAGUAACAACCACAGCCACUUCAGUAAAGCUGGAAUCUAUUACUGUUAUCACUCCACCAGCCAUCACACAGAUAAUGACAAUAACGGAAUCAGAAACCACAGCAACCACCACUAUGACUACUACCACCACAACAGCAAUGCCAUCUACUACCAAUACCACCACAACAGCAAUGCCAUCUACUACCAAUACCACCACAACACAACCAACUACCACCAAAACAACAAUACCAACAACUGCCACCACAAUAAAAACAACAGCAUUACCGUCAACUACCACUCCAAAAACAACCACCACCGCAGACACGCCUACAGAUAAGGAGAAGAAGCCGUCACCAACCAUUCCGGAGGCCGCCAGCUCUCAAGCUACCUCCGGAAAUACCAUGGUUCCUUCAACCGCCACUGCUGAGGUCAGCACAAAAAGGCUGGACGACGACACCAACAGAGCCAUUAUAGAUGUUGUUGCCGGCGAGAU